GACCAACGCUGGCGGCAUGCCUAACACAUGCAAGUCGAACGGACAGAACAGGGAAGCUUUUCGGAGUGGAACUGGAAAGUUAGUGGCGGAUGGGUGAGUAACGCGUGGACAACCUACCUUGUAAAGGGGAAUAACCUCGAGAAAUCGAAGCUAAUACCCCAUAAUAACCUUGCUUCGCAUGAAGUAAGGAGGAAAGGCGGCCUUAGCGCUGUCGAUACAAGAUGGGUCCGCGUCUGAUUAGCUAGUUGGUGAGGUAGAGGCUCACCAAGGCGACGAUCAGUAGCCGGCCUGAGAGGGUGAACGGCCACAUUGGGACUGAGACACGGCCCAAACUCCUACGGGAGGCAGCAGUGGGGAAUCUUCCGCAAUGGGCGAAAGCCUGACGGAGCAAUGCCGCGUGAGUGAAGAAGGCCUUCGGGUUGUAAAACUCUGUCCUUAUCGAAGAGAGAGUGUUGUAGUAACUGACAAUACUAGGACGGUAGAUGAGGAGGAAGCCCCGGCUAACUAUGUG
This 511-nucleotide ribosomal RNA is filed under the name uncultured bacterium. Its description in RNAcentral is "partial 16S ribosomal RNA". It matches the Rfam family "Bacterial small subunit ribosomal RNA", at positions 28 to 507 of the family's 1533-position model. The record is from RNAcentral.